CCUACGGGUGGCAGCAGUGGGGGAUAUUGCACAAUGGGGGGAACCCUGAUGCAGCGACGCCGCGUGGGUGAAGGAGCGUUUCGGCGCGUAAAGCCCUAUCGGCAGGGAAGAAGAUGACGGUACCUGGCCAAGAAGCACCGGCUAACUACGGGCCAGCAGCCGCGGUAAUACGUAGGGGGCAAGCGUUAACCGGAUUUACUGGGUGUAACGGGGGCGCAGACGGCAAUGCAAGCCAGGAGUGAAAGCCCGGGGCCCAACCCCGGGACUGCUCUUGGAACUGGAUGGCUGGAGUACAGGAGAGGCAGGCAGAAUUCCUAGUGUAGCGGUGAAAUGCGUAGAUAUUAGGAGGAACACCGGUGGCGAAGGCGGCCGGCUGGACGGUGACUGACGUUGAGGCGCGAAGGCGUGGGGAGCAAACAGGAUUAGAUACCCUUGUAGUC
This 440-nucleotide ribosomal RNA is filed under the name uncultured bacterium. RNAcentral describes it as "partial 16S ribosomal RNA". It matches the Rfam family "Bacterial small subunit ribosomal RNA", at positions 338 to 795 of the family's 1533-position model. The record is from RNAcentral.